UAAUACGAAGGGACCUAGCGUAGUUCGGAAUUACUGGGCGUAAAGAGCGCGUAGGCGGUCAGUUAAGUCUCAUGUGUAAUCUCCCGGCUCAACUGGGAGGGGUCAUGGGAUACUGGCAGACUAGAAGAUAGCAGAGGAAAGCGGAAUUCCAGGAGUAGUGGUGAAAUGCGUAGAUACCUGGAGGAACACCAGAGGCGAAGGCGGCUUUCUGGGCUAUUCUUGACGCUGAGGCGCGAAAGCGUGGGGAGCGAACCGGAUUAGAUACCCGGGUAGUCCACGCCCUAAACGAUGGAUACUAGAUAUUGGAGGUAUAGACCCCUCCAGUGCCGAAGCUAACGCGAUAAGUAUCCCGCCUGGGGAGUACGGCCGCAAGGCUA
This 377-nucleotide ribosomal RNA is filed under the name uncultured Chloroflexota bacterium. Its description in RNAcentral is "bacterial SSU rRNA". It matches the Rfam family "Bacterial small subunit ribosomal RNA", at positions 521 to 896 of the family's 1533-position model. The record is from RNAcentral. Lineage: Bacteria; Bacillati; Chloroflexota.